RNAcentral lists this ribosomal RNA (497 nucleotides) under uncultured bacterium. Its description in RNAcentral is "partial 16S ribosomal RNA". It matches the Rfam family "Bacterial small subunit ribosomal RNA", at positions 28 to 507 of the family's 1533-position model. The record is from RNAcentral.
GACGAACGCUGGCGGCGUGCCUAAUACAUGCAAGUUGAGCGCUGAAGGUUGGUACUUGUACCGACUGGAUGAGCAGCGAACGGGUGAGUAACGCGUGGGGAAUCUGCCUUUGAGCGGGGGACAACAUUUGGAAACGAAUGCUAAUACCGCAUAAAAACUUUAAACACAAGUUUUAAGUUUGAAAGAUGCAAUUGCAUCACACAAAGAUGAUCCCGCGUUGUAUUAGCUAGUUGGUGAGGUAAAGGCUCACCAAGGCGAUGAUACAUAGCCGACCUGAGAGGGUGAUCGGCCACAUUGGGACUGAGACACGGCCCAAGCUCCUACGGGAGGCAGCAGUAGGGAAUCUUCGGCAAUGGACGAAAGUCUGACCGAGCAACGCCGCGUGAGUGAAGAAGGUUUUCGGAUCGUAAAACUCUGUUGGUAGAGAAGAACGUUGGUGAGAGUGGAAAGCUCAUCAAGUGACGGUAACUACCCAGAAAGGGACGGCUAACUACGUG